GUUGAUUAUGGCUCAGGAUGAACGCUGGCGGCGUGCCUAACACAUGCAAGUCGAGCGAUUCUCCUCGGAGAAGAGCGGCGGACGGGUGAGUAACGCGUGGGUAACCUGCCUCAUACACAUGGAUAACAUACCGAAAGGUAUGCUAAUACAGGAUAAUAUAAGAGAUUCACAUGGAUUUCUUAUCAAAGCUCCGGCGGUAUGAGAUGGACCCGCGUCUGAUUAGCUAGUUGGUAAGGUGACGGCUUACCAAGGCGACGAUCAGUAGCCGACCUGAGAGGGUGAUCGGCCACAUUGGAACUGAGACACGGUCCAAACUCCUACGGGAGGCAGCAGUGGGGAAUAUUGCACAAUGGGCGAAAGCCUGAUGCAGCAACGCCGCGUGAGUGAUGAAGGCCUUCGGGUCGUAAAACUCUGUCCUCAAGGAAGAUAAUGACGGUACUUGAGGAGGAAGCCCCGGCUAACUACGUGCCAGCCGCUGC
RNAcentral lists this ribosomal RNA (479 nucleotides) under uncultured bacterium. RNAcentral's name for it is "bacterial SSU rRNA". It matches the Rfam family "Bacterial small subunit ribosomal RNA", at positions 11 to 518 of the family's 1533-position model. The record is from RNAcentral.